GCCACCGCAGCCACGGCAUCAGCAUCUCCCCGAAGGCUGCAGGUGUCCUGCAUUUCCUCAGUUUCAGAGUUAAGGACCCAAGGGCUCAGCCCGCCCCUGACAAGCUUCCUGGGAGCACAAAGCCCGGGACACCCCACAGCAUCCGCGGGUGUCACGGCCCGGGGCGCGGCUCACGGCCCCGUCCCUGCUCGUCUCCAUCGCCCUCCCACCUGGGAGCCCACACGGUCCCCCCGAGCUCCGCUUCCCGCCUCUCCGCAAGCACAGCGCCGCCACGAGUUCCCAGACUCGAGGCUCCUUCUGGCGUCUAAAUGAACUUUUAAUUACCGACGCGGGUGUUCAGAGAAAAAAAAAAAAAACAAACUGAGCACACUCUUCGUGAGGCGCCCUUCUUCCCCGCCCAGGGUCUCUUUCGUCCAUACGUCCUCGGCUAUCCUUGCUGUCGCUGCGCGUUACACUCGGCACCUCCCCAGCCCGUCGGCGAGGCGAACGGGCCGGAACGGCGUCCGCCGGCCGCUCUGCGCUGCCCCCUGCUCCGGGCGGGCUGCGGCCCCCGGGCUGUCCCUGCUCCGCGGGGCUGGCCCGCGGGCCGCACCCGCGCGCAGGGCACCUCGCGCACGGAGCGCGACCGCGCAGCGGCACGCGGACUCCCCUGCGCGCGCCGGGCCGUUGCCAACGGCUGGAAGCGGCCGUUGGGGGCACGCGGCGGCUCCCAGCCCCCGCCACAGCCCCGCAGCGCGGCUGGGCACCAGCGGGACCGGCACCACGGGGUUCGUUCCUGAAAAACGUUUCUCACAAAUAUUCGUAACGAGCCCUGGGGCUGGGUACUGCACCGGCUCCCUGCCCGUUCUGUUCGAAGCUACGCUGGGCAUCUUCAUGUUGGAAUGAUUUUUUUAGGCUUUGCCGGUUCUGUAGCAAACCUUGCUGGCCUACUGCUGAGCAGAAGAUAGUAUUAAUGACCUAAAGGCAUGAGUUUGUAGAAACCUGUAGGAGAGCUUCUUUGCUGCUGUACCAAGAUGAGAGACAACAAACAAGCCCAAUCUUCCUUGGAUUUCAGUGGCAAAGGAUGAGGUGUAUGGCUCUGUCCUAAGCAAGAGUGAAUAUACAGUACCUAGGAGAAUUCUUCACAAUGACUCCUGUUUCUGCUAGGGUAAGUUAAUAAUAUAAUCUCAAAAAGAUCCUUCUUAGUGGCUAGAAAAACAGAAUAGUCUCUCAUAAAACUUA
Molecule: long non-coding RNA, 1221 nt
Organism: Columba livia (rock pigeon)
Lineage: Eukaryota; Metazoa; Chordata; Aves; Columbiformes; Columbidae
Exons: 3
Source: RefSeq, a predicted model, not a curated record